RNAcentral lists this ribosomal RNA (301 nucleotides) under uncultured bacterium. RNAcentral's name for it is "partial 16S ribosomal RNA". It matches the Rfam family "Bacterial small subunit ribosomal RNA", at positions 509 to 807 of the family's 1533-position model. The record is from RNAcentral.
CAGUAGCCACGGUAAUACGGAGAAUCCAAGCGUUAUCCGGAAUCAUUGGGUUUAAAGGGUCCGUAGGCGGUCUUGUAAGUCAGUGGUGAAAGCCCAUCGCUCAACGGUGGAACGGCCAUUGAUACUGCAGGACUUGAAUUAUUGGGAAGUAACUAGAAUAUGUAGUGUAGCGGUGAAAUGCUUAGAGAUUACAUGGAAUACCAAUUGCGAAGGCAGGUUACUACCAAUUGAUUGACGCUGAUGGACGAAAGCGUGGGUAGCGAACAGGAUUAGAUACCCGUGUAGUCCCUGUCUCUUAUAC